This 119-nucleotide ribosomal RNA is filed under the name Plasmodium falciparum (malaria parasite P. falciparum). Lineage: Eukaryota; Apicomplexa; Aconoidasida; Haemosporida; Plasmodiidae. The record is from RNAcentral.
AAUGACUCAUCACCUGGUGUUCCCGAGCGGUCUCCCACCUCAGUACUAGCCAAGCCUUACAGUGCUUAACUUCAGAGUUCUGAUGGGAUCUGGUGUGGCCACUGUAGUAUGAACGAGUC